This 557-nucleotide ribosomal RNA is filed under the name Triticum aestivum (bread wheat). RNAcentral describes it as "partial small subunit ribosomal RNA". Lineage: Eukaryota; Viridiplantae; Streptophyta; Magnoliopsida; Poales; Poaceae. The record is from RNAcentral.
CACCUCUUUUUUCUCCUCUGCGGCGGCGGCGGCGGGCGAUAGGGAGACGGGACCGGCCACCUUCGCCGGAGCUUGACCUCUUCGGCCUGACGUGCGAGAUGGAGGCAGAUGCGGACGCGGACGCGAACCCGGAGCAUGCCGUGCUACCCCAAGGCCACGAGGACUCAUGGAUUACAUUUUCCGUCUGCGUCAACCUGACGGGUCCAAUGCAGUGGUUUGUGUUUGCCGUACCUGUGGUCUCCUACCUGGUCGCCGCCGCCACUUUCGCGCUCCUGGAGGGAAUUGAAGUCAGGCGUCCCUGGCUCAGGUUCCUGCACAUCUUCGCUUGGACUGUGCUUAUCUCUUGGCUUAUCGCAUGCUACUGAGAGGAGUUUAUAUAUGCAGUAUCUUGUAUCACUUACUGUACUAUCUCUUGGGGACCAUCGAGGCUAAGUAUUCAUGUAGAGACUAUUCAUGUAGAGGCUAUAUAUCUAGUGUUUUGCUAUUUUACAGUGAUUUACAAUUGGGCUUCAUUCAAUUUUGAUUCUGCUGGCCCUUGUGAUGUGGAUGCAGGCGCU